UACAACUUGGUGCCAGACUCCUAAGCUACCUCCCAAAGAGACGAGGAUAGAAGGAACCAUCCAUCUUGAGGUUCACAUUCCAAAGAGAAGUCUCUGAGGCCUUCAAGAAGGACAUUCUGGGAAGUGAAAGUGCUCUUCAGGCUAGAAGGUGAAUAAAGCAUGGAGCCAUCUUAUGAGGACCUCAUCUUGCAUCACAGCAUGGUGGGGAGGAAGCAGCUUUGUGCAAAGAGGAAUAUGUGUGCAAGACAGAGAAGCAUGAGGAGAGACCUGUCUUUGUAACAACCUACUCUCAUGAGACACCAACCACGGCCUCACUCUGUGCUCUUGGGUGUCAGGAGGUACACCAAAAUAGUAUCAGACCUGCAC
This 366-nucleotide long non-coding RNA is filed under the name Heterocephalus glaber (naked mole-rat). RNAcentral describes it as "lncRNA (ENSHGLG00100043244.1)". The record is from RNAcentral. Lineage: Eukaryota; Metazoa; Chordata; Mammalia; Rodentia; Bathyergidae.